GCCUGGGUGGCUCAGUUGGUUAAGUAUCUGACUUCAGCUCAGGUCAUGAUCUCACGGUUCAUGGGUUCGAGCCCUGUGUCAGGCU
This 85-nucleotide transfer RNA is filed under the name Felis catus (domestic cat). It matches the Rfam family "tRNA". From Rfam's summary of the family: Transfer RNA (tRNA) molecules are approximately 80 nucleotides in length. Their secondary structure includes four short double-helical elements and three loops (D, anti-codon, and T loops). Lineage: Eukaryota; Metazoa; Chordata; Mammalia; Carnivora; Felidae. The record is from Rfam by way of RNAcentral. RNAcentral also lists the same sequence under 3 other names.